AUGGGGUUAUGGGGAUUAAUGGGGUCAAUGGGGAUCAAUGGGGUUAUGGGGCUAUGGGUGAUGGGGUUAUGGGGCUAUGGGGUCAAUGGGGAUUAAUGGGGUGGCCCCAUAGGACGUCCCCAAGACCCCAUAGAUCACCCGUAGACCACAUAAAAUGUCCCCAAGAAGCCAUAGACCCCAUAGGAUGCCCCCAGACCCCACAUAUCCCCCCAUAGACCCCAUAGGAUGCCCCCGAGACCCCAUAGGAUGCCCCCAGACCCCACAUAUCCCCUCAUAGACCCCAUAGGAUGCCCCCAGACCCCACAUAUCCCCCCCUAGACCCCAUAGGAUGCCCCCGAGACCCCAUAGGAUGCCCCCAGACCCCACAUAUCACCCCAUAGAUGCAAUAGGAUGUCCCCAGACCCCAUAGAAUGUCCCCAGACCCCACGUAUCUCCCCAUAGACCCCAUAGGAUGUCCCCAAGACACCAUAGAUCACCCCCAUAGACCCCAUAGGAUGUCCCUGAGACCCCAUAUGGUGCUGCUGAGACCCCAUAGAACCCCAUAGAGGUGACAGUGGGACCCCAUGGAGUGCCACCAACCCCACAGAGGUGACAGUGGGACCCCAUAUUGGUGACAACGGGAUCCCAUAGACGUGACAACGGGACCCCAUGGAGUGCCACCAACCCCAUAGAGGUGACAAUGGGGCCAACGUCAGCACCCGGGAGGGGACGUCGAGGAGUGUCACCGUAUGGGGGUGACUCACGGGGGCGCCCCCACCCACCUCAGGGCGGUGUCACCGCGUCACCUCCCUCCCUUAUCUUAUCGGCGCCGUGGGGUGGGGGUGGGGCUCUCCCUAUAGGGCCACCCAUCCCCGUCCCGCCCCCUUUUUUUGGGG
RNAcentral lists this long non-coding RNA (875 nucleotides) under Gallus gallus (chicken). RNAcentral describes it as "lncRNA (ENSGALG00010000474.1)". The record is from RNAcentral. Lineage: Eukaryota; Metazoa; Chordata; Aves; Galliformes; Phasianidae.